Molecule: long non-coding RNA, 12981 nt
Organism: Equus caballus (horse)
Lineage: Eukaryota; Metazoa; Chordata; Mammalia; Perissodactyla; Equidae
Source: Ensembl
GCCAACCUGGCCAGAACUACCCAGGUGAACCUUGUCCAAACCGCCAAACUGCAGAGUCAAGAGCUGAAAAAUGGUUGUUAUUUUAAGCCACUAAGUUAUGUGGUAAUUUGUUCUGCUGCAAAAGGUAAUUGGUACAAGAAGUGACCAUCUGAACAGUUUCUGGCAAUGGCAGGCUAUAAGGACACAGGAACACGUGUAAACCCAUGGAAUAAUGAAAUGAUAGUGGAAGGAAGUAGAAGUGGGAGCCUAACAGGACCCGGGGGUAGGGAGUAUUGUAUGACCGUCAUAAAGGAAAUUGGGGAGAGCAGAGGCAGAACAAAGUAAGGAAGAGGUUUUGACUUUGUACAAAUAUGUAAAUUCAAGCCUGCAUCCUUAAGUGCUUCUCAGGCACACUGCCUACCCACCCAUGUGUUUGCCGUCAGUGUAAGCACAUUCUUACUGCCUUACCUUCUCUAGCUGGUAACAAUGCUGAGUGGAUGGGUCUCUGGUUUGGGAAUCGGCAGACAGAAUUCUCAUGGUGAUGUGACAGUAUUUGUAGGUUGACUUGGCUCCAAGCAGGAGGAAGAGAGGGGCUGUCAACAUCUUGGUGAGACAAGAGCAGGUUGGAGGCAGUCUCUGCUGACACCCUGGUAACUGAGGUCAGCUGGCCUGGAAAUCCACACUCACCACUGCCAAGUACAGAGGACAACUGAAGAGAUGGCUCUCCCAGCAAAAGGAGGCAGAUCCAGACCGUCUACAGUUGAGUUUACUGGAGGAGAAGAGGGAGCCUCUAUUCUUUUAAGGCCAGAAGAGUUUAUCCACCUUGCCUAGGAGUUGAGAUUGACUUCUCUGCUUCCCUCUGUAGUGAUCAUGACAUCUGACCCUCAUCCUGGUAUGAGCCACAUUAUGAACCCUGCUGCCCAUCAUGUCGCCCCACAGCCUCCUGCUGCUGUUAGCAUUGAUUCUUCCUUCCAUCUUCUCUCUCAGCUUGGAUUUUUAGACCCUGAAAUCUGCCUUAAUUCAUCUCUCUUGAAAACUUCUGUUGCUGCUCUUGGAUCUGGUAAUAUUUUUUGUCAGCUUUCCUCUUGAAUAAGUGAAUGUUUUCUAAGGAGUCCAAAUUCCUCUGACUUGAAUCUCAGAAUAUCAGAGCCAGAAGGAACCUCAAAGUCAGCUGGACCAAUGGUUCCAGCCUGCGGCAUUUGGAUUCUCAGAGACUUUGGAGUUAUUGUGAGUCUUAGAACACAUAUACACUUAUAGUUCUUUCUUUUCCUUCACUGGGCAGCAAAAUUGACAUGAUUAGUAUGUGGUAUCCAUAACUUUUUGAACUUAAGAAGAGUUUUCAUGCUCUAAAAAUCUGAGAACCACUGAUUCACACCAGCUGCCUCAUUUUACAAAUGAAAAAAUGAAGCCCAGAAAAUGAUUUGAUUUUCCCAAGGUCGUAGAGUAAAUUAAGAUCAGGUCAGGACCUGGGUAUAAUCUUUGGAUUGUCAACCAUCAACCCAUUGCUCUUUCCAGUAUCCCAGCCCCCAAAAUAUCAUAGUCCUCACAAUUACAUAGCAGCUCCCGCAGACACUACUGCAAAGGGGAUUAAAGGAUCCCCAACUGGCUCAGGCUGAAAGUGAGGGAGUGACUUCUCCCUCUACAGCAAACGUUAAGCUUUUUUGAAAAGUAUUGCCAGGAUAUAAUAAACAAAUAAAUGUCCCUAGAGAGUGCACUAAUAAUUAGAUAAAGUUGCCCCAUCUUUUUUCAGACAAUUGUAACUUGCCCACUGCCCCUGGCAUGGGUGAGUGAGGAGUCCUAGAUCCCAGAAGGUCACUAAUUAAGUUCAGGGAAGCAUCCCACCUAUAGGCUUUCCCGAAGUCUACGGCAUAGCUCUGGAAGGGAGUGUCAGGACCAAAUUUCUUGCUCAGGGAUUUUGAAAUUAGAACCCUGAGAGACGGGGUCAGCUGGAGGAGGAGGCUGGGCAGGACAAUAAUGAUGAAAUGUUGGGUCUAGUGGACAUUUAGAGCCACAAGCCCAUAGAGAAAAAGAAGAAGAAUGAGAUGGGGUGAGGGAGAGCGAGUGUGCACGUGAGGGGCCACGUGGCUACAGAGAGAAAGGGACACAGAGAAAGAGAAGGAAAGAGGAAGACCUGGAGAGAGCUCCUUAGAUUGAACCUUUCUAGUUCCCAGUUCCUGUCACAGAAGGCCCAGAUUCCCUAGGAUUCCAGAAGCUCUGGAUCUUAAAAUAAGUUCUUUUGGGGCCGGCCCGGUGGCGCAGAGGUUAAGUGCGCACAUUCAGCUUCGGUGGCCCCAGGUUCACUGGUUCAGAUCCCGGCUGCGGACAUGGCACCGCUUGGCAAGCCAUGCUGUGGUAGGCGUCCCACAUAUAAAGUAGAGGGAGAUGGGCAUGGAUGUUAGCUCGGGGCCAGUCUUCCUCAAAAAAAUAUAUAAAUAAAUAAAAUAAGUUCUUUCUACUUAGGCUGAUUUGAGUAAGAUUUGCUCGCUGAAUGAACAGCCAGCUCCGGAGGAAUAAAUUCAGAUCUCAUGCAUAAACUCAGAGUUCUCACAGCCCAAGAUUCGAUGGUGACCCAAGACUCCCUCACAGCUGAGGCUGCCUCAUCGAGAAAAUGAAGGACGAGAGCACUUCAGCUGCCACCAGCACAGCCCCAACACUCUGCAGUGCUGAUGACGGGCACUGGUUGAGCAACCGAAAUCAUCCAUUACAAAGGUCUCAGGACACAGCUGUGACAUGCGACUCCACAGAGACCUCAUGUUAAUCCCGGAUAUUUCUGAAUUUCAUUCCUGUUCAGAAGGAGCCUGUCUCUAAGUACUUGAGAAUAGGAAAGAAGCUUCUAUGUCAUCACUCUGGCAUCUUUCAUUUCAGUAAAAAAAAGAAAAUUGAUUUUGAGAUUUCUGUUCUAUAUGGCACUUAAUGUGAAAUAUCUAGUUCUAAAGUGAUUUAGAAAAAGAAAAAAGUGCACUGUGGUGUUAAAAUCUAUUUAUCUUCUUUUAUUCUCAAGGGCAAGAAAUGAAAAUAAUAACAGAUAACAGUAGAUUUUCAGUGUGGUGACAGAAAGAGGUUAUCAGGAAAAUCCCAGGGUGAAAAUAAAGUAGAAAAGCAAGAAUACAGUUUGAGAAAGAUGUGGAAGAAAGAUAUGAAGCUAGAAAGGAAAAUAAGAGAUUGUCAGUGACAGCCAAGAUUCUUAAAAGAUAGAAGAGUUCUUACUGAUUCAUCUGUAAGUAGAGGUAACAGAGGAAAAAAAAAACAAGAGAUGAACACCAUGAUGCUAGGAUCGGAAAUCUCAGGGGUAUGGUGUUGUCGUUAAAUUCUGCCUUUGGCUAAAAAAAAAAAAUCAGAAAAAGAGAUUUAGGGAAAUACGCAUGGGAAAUUGUGUGAAAUGAGUUGUUGAUAAAGUAAAAGAAAGUAUACAAGAAACACGGAAAUAUCUUUAAGCCGCUGCCUCUCCAACAUCCAUUCUAAGUUGUUAAGAGAAUGAGUUAAUGGAUUUAGAGAAGUUCUGAUCAUUAUAUUCGGGGGGCACUUUGGAUGCAGUAUUUCAGAAAGCUGUCAAAAUAAGUACAUCUCUUCAAGAUAUUAGAGGAAAAAACAAGAAAAAACAAGCACACAUGGACCUAAUUUUCUUCUUUUUUGCUCUCCUUCCUAAGAAAGGCCUUCCUGGAGGGUGUUGUGCUGAGUGAAAUAAGCCACAGAGGCAUAUUCAUGAUGACAGUUUAAAAAUCUUUGUCGGGUCAUUCCGACAUCUCUGUCAUCUUGGUGCUGGUAUCUGUUGAUUGUCUGUUUUCACUUAGUUUAUCUUCCUUGUUCUUGAUGUAAUGAGCAAUUAUUUUUUUACUGAAUUCUGGGCAUCUGGGGCAUUAUGUUGUGAGACUCUGGGUCUUAUUUAAGCCCUCAUUUUUUCUGGUUUCCUCUGACAUUACUUGAGCAGGGGAAGAAGAGGGGACCCGCCACCACUGCCAGGUGAGAGUAAGUUUCCACUUGCCCUUUGUUGACAUAGAGGUGGGGUUCCUCUUUACUGCUUGAUGUGGGUGGGAGUUCUGGCUCCCUACUAGGUCUCUGCUGAUACCUACCUGGCUGGGCAGCAUCCAGAUGCCUCACUACUCUCCUCACAUGGCCUCCGCUGACAUCAUGGUGGGGCUGUGCGGGGACCUCCGUGCUGCUGGGCAGUGGUGAAAGUUCUGACUGUCCAUUAGGCUUCUUUAGACACCAUCCCAGUGAGGAUGGGGAGGGCGCCUGACUGCCGCCAAAUGGAGAUGGAAGUCCAGGCUCCCAGUUGAUCUCCACUGACAGCAUGAGGAGGCCUCAUUAGCUCCAGGGGAUGAAAGUCCUGGCUCUCUACUCAGCCCUUUCUGACAACACCCUGGCAGAGAGGUUUGGGCUCCUUGUUAAAACUCCACAGAAAUGGAAGUCCAGGCUCCCCACUCAGCCUUACUGGAAUGGGUGGGAGAGGGGUCAUAGAUUUUUCUGUAGUGUUUGGCUGGAGUAGACCAGUUAUUAUCUAAAUGUUUCCUAUCUUGCGAGGUUGCUCCUUUUCCUAGAGAGAGUGGGCUUCUGUUGGGGCUUUUUCUUUCUAGAGUCAUUGGCAUUUCCAGGCUGCCAGCUCCUUCAGCUCCAAGUCUGGGAAAUAUAAGGCAAAAAAGAAGACCCAGGGAACUCACCACCAUACUGUUCCUUGGAUUCCGAGGUCCCUAGUUGGUCUGCCUUCUUCUCUCCACAUUUCAGAGUCUUCUUGUGUUUGUUUCUGUGGACUGUCCAGGGUUUUCAGUUGUCUUUAGCAGGAGGACCAGGAAAAGGUACAGCUGUUCCACUUCCCACAUAUGGAAUCUUUCCAGAUCAUUCACAUACAGAUAACAACAGUACCUGCCUCCUAGAGACCUCAAAGGGUUAUUGUGAGGAUUAAAUGAGUUAAUUGGACCUUUGGAGCAGUGGCUGGCACAUGGUAAGCCUUAUAUAAGUGUUAUCUCUUCUUGUUAUUAGAUAAACAGUAUAAUGGGGUUGUUAAGGGAACAGAGUCUGGGCCCAGACUACCAGGAUUUAAAUCCUAGCUCUUACCCUUAAUAGAUGUGUUAGUCUUUGGGAAAUUAACUGAAUCUCUCUGUGUCUAAACAUUCCCACUGUAAAUGGCAAUAAUAAUAGUUUCUUCUUCACAAAGUUAUUGUGUGAACUGAAAGAGUUAAUAUAUCUCUAAAGCUCUUAGAUGAUUGCCUUGCACAAAGUGAGCUCUAUUUAAGUAUUAGAUAUUAUUCUUUUAAGCUAAAGUACUUCAUUUUCUCCUCAAAGCACCCUCUAAAAUAAGUGGUAAAGCAUCACUAUCUCCAUGUAUAAAUGAAGAAACAGAAGAGGUUCUGAGGCAUGCAAUGACCUGCCCGAGGUCACAGAGCCAGUAUGUGGCAGAGCCAGCUUGAGCCACAGAUCCUCUGACUGCAAGUCUAGGGCUCACGGCAUCAUGUAAGCCCUGAAUUGAGGCUUGGUUAGGAGUGCAAGAUGAAAACCAGGAUUCAUGCUUAGAGAACAGGGCAAGCAGACAGCUGCCGAAAUCACACGUGGGUGGGCAAGGCAGCAUGAAGAUAGGAACAAAGUGGAAAGAAGGCCAGGCGGGAGUCUGGUUGUUGGGCUAAGUCCAUAUCAGGAAAUUGGUGUUGAAGAGACCACCAAGAUGAUUUCCAGUGAGAGAUUUCUACCCCUCCAGAAGGUGUGCCAUCAACGUCUCCUGUUCACAGGGCAGUGACGGGUUUCCUUAGAGCUCAGCACUCCCACUCCAAGGCAGCUUAUGCUCUUCAGAGAGACUCCAGCUCCAAGAAAGCAGGGGCUGUGCCUUCUUCAGUUCCGAAGCUCCUCAAGUCUGACUCGUGAAAUGGGGUCCUUCCUCAAGGGAUUCCCGCUGCCGCCCCUGCCCAGCCUGCCGUCUACAUACUUCGGAGCCUGUCCAAGUCCAGCUUGUGCCUCAGGGCUCAUACCGAGUGCCACCAAGCCUUCCUGGAGACACCAGCCCACACUGAGCUCGCCCCUUCCUAAACCCUUAGCGUUAACUAUCUCUGCCAUAUGUUUUGGAAUGUGUUUAUUUAAGCAUCAUAUAAUAUCUAGUCCUAUAUUUUUCCUGAUAUUUCAUAUGUCCAAGUCUUGUGUAACCAGCAAGACCAUGGGUCUUGGGGGCAGUGGUUGCAUCAUACAAGUUUUGAUGAGGUUUGGCCUCCCAGCAUUUGACAUGGAACACAGUACUGGGUAGUGAGUCAAUUAAUACUUGUUAACUCUGAAAGCAAAGGUCUCAGACAAGCAGAGGUGCCCCCAUGUGGAGUACAUGGAGCCCCAGGCAAAAUUCUCUUUUUGCAAGGCCCUAACUAAACACUUUGAUUAAAAAAUGUUUUACAAAAUGUGUGGGCCCCUGGAAAGUAUAGUGAUUUAUUGCUGAAGGUGUAGAAUAAUGUGUAGGAAGAGCUGGAAGAGGUACUUUGAUAUGUAUUUAUUGUCCAAUCAGGGCAGAUGUCCAGAGACCAUCUUUUCUGUUUGGGUCCAGGAAUCAUCUCUUCAUGUUCUUUAUUGUCAAAUGUGCCAUUCCUGGAGAAUUUCACAUCUUCCACCUCCAAAAACAGGGUGCAAUGCUGUCAUUACUCACAAUGUCAGGACUUUUUGGAGCUUGCUUAUAUUGCAACUAUACAGAUCUCAUCUCUGCACGUAUUUAAUGUUACUUAUACCAUGUAUGCAUAACAGUGGGUCAUCCAUUGUGCGGCCUGUGAGUACUGCUUUCCAACGACCCUGUCAAAGGUAGCUGCUGUGGUUCAUUGAUAAUGACUAUAAAUGCAAGUCUCAUCCAGAGAAUGCUGGAAAAUGUGAACAAUAAUCCAUUUUGCGGUCAUAUAAAGUCUACAGUUUGGAAUUUUAUAACAUAAAGAUAGAACACCGUGUCUUCCAACUCUGUCUUCUCUUGAACUCUUCAGGCGGAAGUCACUGCAUCCUUAGAAGGUGAUUUCUUUCCCUGUUGACCACACCCCUGCCUUCCAUACAUCCCACCAGCCAGGAGGGUAGGCGAGGGGCCUGUGGGCAGAGUAAGUAAAGCAGUCACAUUCUGCAAGAAAUGUUCGUCCCUCGCCCCAGGAGAGCAUGAGGCCACCAAAUCCACUGGAGGCAAAAGAGGACCCUGAGCAGAAGGGCCCAUCUGCAUUCUAAAGCAAUGGUCUAGAAAGCCCUUGGAGGAGAUAGGCUUGGCCACCUCAGAGGACUGCCCGACAUGGGUAGGGAAAGGAACUUAUGGAGGGGUGGGGUAACCCUGUGUGCCAGCAGUAGAGUACACAGGUAAAGGACACCUGCAGCCUCCCUCCUGCCCUUGGGUGUUGUGGCCCUAGGAGGCCACGGAUGGAACGGGCAGGCAAGAGCCGAUGCUGAAGAGCUCAAGUCCAAAGCUGGGUGGGAUUGGUCCUGGUAACCCUGAGUCCUGAACGUCUCCUGUGACCACCAUGAGUGAGUCACCUCAAAUCAGAGUGUCAGCACAUUUUGGGGGGCUCAAUCUCAUGAGAGAAAUACUGCAACAGCCAGCGGAAAUGACCAGCUCAUGAGCCCACCCUCCUGGAAGCCCCAUAGGUGGGGAUUAUGAUCCCAGGAGCAUGAGUCUCGGAGUUCCUUGGGGCAGGUGGUGACCCCACACACAGGAUCAAGGGUCAAAGAGUGUCCUGAAGGAUGGAAAUAAGGACCAAACUCCCAGGAAUCCAUCCAGGUUUGGGGUGUCCCACCCAGGUGGCAUUGCCAGGCACCCCAGGGAACUUCAAAAAUUUUGAAGAAAGCACUGGGCCCAGGGCAGCAGCCUACUGUCCCAGGUCUAAGGCUGUUACUGCAGCCAAGCCUUUCUGCGCUCCUGGUAAUCCCCAAGACCAGACCAGCCCGUGUGGCUAUGGGGAUUGCCAAUGUGCUGGGCUACCAUGUAGGGAGCAUCGGGCAUUUUCAGGAAUUUGUACUCUGGUCUCAUUUCGGCACAAAGUGCUGGUGCCCUUUUUUCUUUUGGGGGCCUCACUACAUUGAGUACAUUCUCUCAGAUAAAUUUCUGGUCUCACCUUGUUAAUUCUUUGAAAAGAACAAUUAUGAACUGACUCACAGGACAGUAUUCCUGUUUUUUCUCGUGUUAAUAAGUAUCAGAUGGCAGUGAAUUUUUCUAUCUUUCCUGUGGCAGCUUCCCAUUACACCUGUGCAGCUUCCCAUUACACCUGUGACAGCUUCCCAUUACACCUGGCAUUUUGAGCCACACACAUGUGCAGGAUUUUGCAAAAUCUGAGUAGAGAAGAGGCUAGAAGAUGAGGUGAGAGAGACGUUUUAUGAAAAUAAAAAUUCAUAAAAAUAUCACCAAAAAUAUCCCACUAAAUUAUAUCACUGAUAGCAUCCGUUAAAAUAUCUCAUUAAAAAUAUCAUUGAUCAGAUCCAUUAUUUUGUUAUUUAAAAAGUUGUUAAAUCUUUGGUCAGCAGUUACUCUGUGUCACCAUCACAUUCGUUGCUCAGAUUUCUUAGUUCCUCUCAAAGGAAUGUUACCAAAUAUGUGAAUUUCUGGCUACCGUGAAAUCAGAUAAAGCGAUGGGUAUUUUGAUAAGUAUAGAACAUGGAAUUCGUUUGUAGCUUAAAACAAUCUCUCAAGGCGUUGGUUGGCCACUAAGUAGCAUGUAUUCAUAUUUGCCUUUGUUUCCUUUCUAAUAGUGCUGGGGCUUCUGCCACUUUAGAAAACAGAAUUUCUAACUCUCAUGGCAGUUCAGGCACAGUUUCUAAUAAUCUAACCUCACGAUACACACAAAUGACUUAUAUUAAUGCCAUAGAAAUAAACUAUUAUAUUCUAGUGCUUAUGUGAGCCCCAAGCUGUGCUAGGUAGUUCUCUCCUAUUAUUGUGUUUAAUGGAUUGAGCAACUAACAUUUAUUCAAUGUUUGGCAUUUCUUUUAAAUGCCGUCUAGCAUAGUACAAUGGUUCCUGAAUGUCAGUGGAUAUAGGAAUCAUCAGGAAAGGACUUAUUAAAACACAGGUUCCUGGGGAUCGUCCCCGUGGCCAAGUGGUUAAGUUCUCGCGCUCCGCUUCAGUGGCCCAGAGUCUCGCUGGUUCGGAUCCUGGGCGUGGACAUGGCAUCGCUCGUCAGGCCACGCUGAGGCGGCGUCCCAGAUACAUAGCACAGUCAGAGGCGCUCACAACUAGAAUAUACAACUAUGUACUGGGGGGAUUUGGGGAGAAAAAGCAGAAAAAGAAAAAAGAGAAGAUUGGUGCCAAUCUUGAAAAAAAAAAGAAAUUUAAAACACAGCUUCCUGGAUCCCAUCCCCAGGGUUUCUGAUUCAGCAGGUAGGGGGUGAAGCUUGAGAAUCUGCAUUCCUAACAUGUUCCCAGGUUAUGCUGGUGCUGCCGGUCCAGGGACCACACUGUGAGAAUCACUGGCAUAGGAGUUAAAAGCAGUGACUUUGCUAUCAGACUGAUCUGGUUUUGAGUCUUUUGGUUUAACUUUCCUCAUCUAUAAAAUUAUACCUCCAUCAUUAGGUUAUUUUGGAGAUUAAAUAUGAUAUAUGUGAAGUGCUUAACAUGGUAUCUUGCAUGCGUUAUAACUCAGUAAAUGUUAACUGCCACCAUAGUAGCAUUUGCUACAGUACUACUCUUACUACUAAGUAAACUUAGAAAAUGACUUUGAUUUCAAAAUCAGUUUUAGAUUGUCAGUGCUCUCUCUUCUCUUUACCUAGAGCUGAGCUCCAAUGUCUCGCAUGCUAUGACAUCAUAAUGAGAUUGAUAACCAAGACUCUGAGGAAUGGCAUAUUGGAUUUUUCAUAUUAUCAUAGAGAUUCUCCAUCAUAACUAAGAAAAAUAUAUAAAACAAAUGCCAUUUUUUAAUAACCCUGAAAAAACCUCUAGGAAAAAGAGCUGCAAUUAAGUUAGUCUAUUAGCUUUACCAAACCUUAUUGAAUAUGUUAUUAUUAGCUGUCUAAAAUGAUACAUCUAUUUGUGGUUAAACACACACAAGUAAAAAGCCAAGAACCUUCAUGAAAGGUUGCUUAAUCUUGAUCAAUACUUUAGAAGAGUCAGCAUAUACUUUGGCCACAGAAAAUUCUAGUAACUUAUUCGUAACUUAUGUGAAAUUAUCCUGCUACUAAUCUGCACAAUUCUAGAGUCCCAGAAAUGGUAGAAUAUAUAAGUUUUGAUGAAUAAAUGAAGAGCAAUAGGAUAUACUGGAGUAUAUGAGGAAGCCAUAUGGUUUAAAAUUAAUUCAGCCUGAACUUGUUAUUCCAGAAAGCCCUGAUGUGGCCUCUUGAACAUGCAUUGUACAUCUGCUUUAAGCAUUUACAAUGUCCCAAAGACAAGAAUUAUGCCCUUAAAGGUAGAGAUUCAGCUUCCCCCUAGAUUAGCAUUUCUUUAAGAAUAAGUAUCUCUUCCUGGAAACUAAGGAUUAAUUACAGAUCUGCUGUUCUCACCUUGUGACCACUGACCUGCUAUGCUAGCUAAGCAUCUAGUGACAGUAGUAAAAGAGAUAUUCCUGGCAUAUGUGAUGUACGUUCUUUGUUCCAAGAUAGUAUAUAACCACUCUGUACACUCCACUUCUCUGGUGUAUGUCUUUCCUUGGGGAAGGAAGCCCCCAAGCUAUAGUCCUCAGACCUGGCUCAUGAUAAACUCACCCAAUUUUGAUUUAUAGAUUGAUUAUGGAUUAUUUGCAUCAACAUUUGGAAACAUAUUCAUCAUCCAUUAAUCAAAUUCUGACCCAGGAUUCCCAUCAGCUAUAUGAUUCUGGGUACCGAGAGGCUCAUCCUGGGCUCUUUCCGUCACCUGCAUCUACAUUCUUUUCUAUUUUUAUGGAGAGCCACUAAGAAAUACAACAGAUAAGCUAACAUCAAAGAUUUCAUCCAAAUUAUCUAAAAUAAGUAUGGCAACAUUCACAUUAAAGAAAUGUCAUAUUCUGUGUUGGUUUUGAGUGCUCUGAUAUUCACAGUGAGAUAAAAAAUUAAUAAAUGUCACUUGGCUUCUUUGGUAUUAUGGUCUCUUGGGCAUAUAAGUAGAAGCAACAUUUAUUAUCUAAUACUGUCGCCCAGGAUGGGCAAACCACAGCCCUCUCCCCUGGCUCCCCAUUUUGUAAAUAAAGUUUUAUUGACACACAGCCACAUUCGUUCUUUUACCUAUUGUCUAAGGCUGCUUUCACACUACAGUGGCAGUGUUGAAUAGCUGCAACAGAGACCCUGUGACCUGCAAAGUUUGACAUAUUUACCCUUUGGUCCUUUACAGAAAGGCAGUUGACCUCUGCUGCAGACGGUUAGUUGGGAUGCUUCCGAAAGAAAUGUACCAAGAAGAAAAUGUAAUCUCCUUCCUUAAAAUACCUACCCAAAGAGAUCAUUUGUCUUCAAUAAAAUAGUUUCCUAGUAGAGUAAUAAUAAGUUAGGCUUAUGAUUGGUUUCCCAUUAACCUCAGAUUGCAAAUGUUCACUAGCCCUUUCAAAUGCUUAGUAUCCUUACAGUGACGUAUCUGCCAGCCGUGGACGACAUUCUACUCUGGGUCGGAAACUGUCCUCAGAUUUGAAUUAUUCUUGCUUAAUUUAAAGAGCCAGAUCUAGUUUUAUUAAAGUUAAUGAAGGCCCAGAACCUCAUUAAUGGCUAAAUGACUUCUCUCUCUGAGCCAUGUGAUUAUUUCAGAAUUAGUAGUUCACUUAAAAACAAAUAUCCCUAUUUUAUUUUAUUAGAACAGAGCAUUGGUCUGUGUUUAAAAGUAGAUUUCUAUUUUUCUGACAAAUGUCUUUCCAAGUAUGUGAGGUACAAUUUCUAUGACUUUUCCUGAAAAAAAUUGACGUAUUUGUUGAGUGAAUGUUGAAUAAACAAAGAGUAUAUAUCAGAGUGGGAAGAACAUGCCCUUUGGGGUCAGAGAAACUGGGUUCAUCUCUUAGAGUUUCCUCCUCCUGCUAGUGUGUGACAACCCUCUGACCCUCAGUUUCCUAUCCUUAAAAUAGAGGCAACCCCUAUAUGAUACAUAUAUAGGAUUGUGGGAAGGAUUUUAAAUAAUGCAUGUGAAAUGACUAGUUAGAGCCAGGCACAUAGCAGGUUUACAGGUGGUAACUUAUUGAGUGGUAGUUAAGUGAGUGCUAUGGUCUGAAUGUUUGUGCCUCCCAUCCCCCAAAUUCAGGUUGAAAUCCUAAUGUCCUAUGUGAUAGUAUUGGAAGGUGGGGCCCUUGGGAGGUGCUUAGGUCAUGAGAGUGGAACCCUCAUCAAUGGGAUUAAUGCUCUUAUAAAAGAGACCCCACAGAGCCCUGUAGCCCCUUAUCCUAUGUGAGGACAUAGGGGGAAGUCAAUAACCCAAAAAAGUGCCCUCACUUGACCGUGCUGGCACCCGACAUCAGACUUCCGUCCUCCAGGACUGUGAGAAAUAAAUUUCUGUUGUGUAUAAGACACCAGUCUGUGGUGUUUUGUUCCAACAGCUCAAAUGAACUAAGACAAGGGGCAUAGUUGUUUUUGUUUUCUGAUUUCUUCUUCACUUAAUUAGGUUUUCCUAGAGGUGAACUAGAUGCCUAAAAGUAGUGAUGCUUAAAUUUAUUUUAAUAAAUUUAGGAAGCUAGCUCAAAUGAGAAAGCUGCUGUGGAGACAAGGGAACCAGGCAGGCUCCAGCACGCCCAGGGCCACCCCUGGUGUCCAGGGCGCCCCUUAACCCCUCCCCCACCCCCGCAGUGCUUCACUCGUGCUUGCUCUGGGCGCGCAACAGCGGGGAAUCAGCAUUUAGAUGAUUCUCUGGAAGUCUUCCAUCCCAACAGGAAAGACGAUAAUCAUCCUUGCAAAGAGGAUGCACGGCUGGUGAUGCCUUCGCUCCUUUGUGGGGAGCGAUGCCCAGGAAAGCUCUGACCGCGGCUGAGAGAUCUGAACUGCAGUUCCAGCUCUGCACACCAGCCGUGGGACCUCGGACGAGGCCUGCAGCGGCUCAGAGCCCCAGCGCCCCUUUCCAUGCGAAAGCAGGUCUCCGUGCUCCUUCCAGAUCUCUACAGACUUCUUCACCUGAGAGACGUCGCACAUGCAUGGACUUUAAUGGAACAG